Molecule: long non-coding RNA, 1952 nt
Filed under: Pogona vitticeps (central bearded dragon)
Lineage: Eukaryota; Metazoa; Chordata; Lepidosauria; Squamata; Agamidae
Description: lncRNA (ENSPVIG00000016964.1)
Source: RNAcentral
AAAGAUGAAGCCCCUGAUCUGAUGGGGACCUGGGAGGGGGCAAAUGCUUCAUUGCCAUGGGAGGCAGGAAGGGGGUGGAAAGGAAGGCCGCGCUGCAUCUCCCCACCCUGUCCAGAAAAUAUUAACUGGCUCUUGCUACAGAAGAACCCUGCGAAACUGCCCGGCAAUCCAGACACCCAGAACUGACAAAUCCCACGCCCACAGUAUCGAGUCCAAUUCACUGAUCUGUAGCUUCCUGCAUUGAAUAUCAGUCGUCCUCUUGAGGGUUGGGACACCAGUCAGGAAAAAAAGGCACGAGGAGGUUUCCUCCUCCCUAGUCCCUGCGAGAGCGAGGCGUCCUUCCUCUUCCUCCUCCUCCUCCUCGGUCCAUCUUGGGAUCGUCUCCCCCCCCCCGCCCCCAGCAGGAACCGUUUAGGUGCCCGGGUUUUCAUUCCACAAGCUGGGAAGCUUGGGGGGGGUGUGUGAAAUGGUUAGGGUCCUCCGGCCUGAGGCUGCCAGCAGAGGGAGGCGAGAACUGGCCGGGCAGGCGAGUAGAGGAACCGUCUAGCACGCUUGGACUCAGAGGGUCUUUCAUGCUGACGUUCUAACCUUUGGAACUCAGAGGGCAGGUCCUCCGGGCCCGCCUCUUCCUUUAAGUCACCAUGGAGCCGUUCUAGCCUUUGGAAAUCAGAGGGCAGGUCCUCCAGGCCCGCCUCUUCCUGCAAGUCACCAUGGGGACCUUCUAGCCCUUUGCACUUGGAGAGCAGGUCCUCUGGGCCCGCCUCUUCCUGUCCCGUUGCCAUGGCGACACUGGGAUGCCAAAGGCCGGUGUGUUGUGCUUUUUCUUCCCUGCCGUGUCUCCCCAUUAUUUGUCCGGCCUGCCCCUGCGGCGCCCAGAGGCUGUUCUGGCUGCAAGGCCGGUGGCAGACCCGGCCUGCGCUGGACGCUGCCCCGCUCAUAACGGGGACGGCGGCUGGCAGGUGUCGUUGUGUCCAUGAGAUCAUUCACGUGGACGCAGAGCUUCAUAAUUCAUUUGCUCUACCCUGCAACCUCGAGGAACAACCAGAUCUGGAAAGGUGGGCAGGUAAGGGUGCACUGGGGCCAGCGGGAUGGUAGAGGCUCACCAUGUGGGUCUGUCCUGAUCCCCUCUGCCCCAUGAUGACCUUUGUUAAUUCUUAAUUGAAGGCUUGGUUGUAUGUUAGUGGUAACCCCCCCAUGUGGAUGGAUCUGUCCUGGCCCCUCCAUCCCCUCAGGCCCUGGUUUAUGGGGUAGGAAACAGGUUGCGUGUAAGGCCACUUGGAAUGCUUUUAGGCUUCUAGGCAUGCAGAGUUCCCAUUCCAGGAAGGCCUUGGUGAUGGCCCAAAAGUCAUAAAAGUGUCCCAGCAAGUCUGUACUAAGGGGCAUCUCCUUUGGGACCCCUCACACGUAACAGUCUAGAUCCUGAUGCUCCCCCGCCCAACCAGAGGUUAAUUCUUAGAUGGGCUUUUUCCAUCUUUUCGGCUCUCCCUCCGCCCCAUACAAAAAGGCCCAGCCCUGUUGGACCGAGUAGCUAGCUACUUUCAUUUCCAAUUUAUUUAAUUAAAGCAUUCUUAAUUCUUGUGAUUCUUAUCAACUUUAUUAGGUCUUUUUCUUUUAACAAAAAAUUCAGUCUGCAUGCAAAUAGCUGUUUGUUUAUUUUAUUUAUCCAGAGACUUUAAGAAGCAGUAUUUCAGUGUAGGUUGUAAUCUCAAUAUGCUGGCUGUGGAUUCCGGAAGGUCUAAACGGAGGCUCCGUUUCAUAGGACAGAUCACAGUUUUCAAGUUGUUGCACACAGUGCGUUACGAUUGUCCUGUGUUAUGACUAUCUAAUAUUGGGAAGAACAUUUAAUGGUUUAGAAUUUGAUUCAUCAGGUCAAUGAAAGGUUAUUGUAAGAUGCAGAAUACAUAGAGUCAAGUUUAUCUGUUUUAAAAUAAAAUGAGAAGGAUGUUGUGCCA